UUUAUCUUUUAAUUACUUUUCUUUUUUCUCUUAGUUCCUCUUUCUUGUUUCAAUGGCGAAUCCACUGCCGGAUUCGCUACAGCAGUGAGAAAUUGCUAAAGUUAAAAAGUAUUAAGGCAGCAAAUACAGGUACGUGAAAUCGACUUGAACCGCAAGAAAUUUCGAUCCAGAAGGUGCUCUGUUAGAAACCUAUUUCAAGUGUGGAGUAGAUCAAGAAAUGGAAGAUGAAUGCACCUUACUUAAGAUGAAUUUUGAAUUGUUAUAGAUGAAUAUUCUAGGAAUCUUUUGUUUAUCAAAAAUUUGAAACUUACUCUUUUGAAAUUUAUAUUAAACUUAUGCACUUGGGGUAAUAUUUUGAUUUAUGGAUAUUACUAGCUUUUUGGACAACAUAGAUUAUUAAUAGUUUCAUUUUGUGAUUUA
This is a long non-coding RNA of Nicotiana tabacum (common tobacco), 420 nucleotides long. RefSeq lists it as uncharacterized. NCBI's taxonomy places the organism in Eukaryota, Viridiplantae, Streptophyta, Magnoliopsida, Solanales, Solanaceae. The record is from RefSeq and is a predicted model, not a curated record.